AACGCGAAGAACCUUACCUGGGCUCGAAGCGUAGUGGACUGAGGUAGAAAUAUCUUUUUCCCGCAAGGGACUGCUACGUAGGUGCUGCAUGGCUGUCGUCAGCUCGUGUCGUGAGAUGUUGGGUUAAGUCCCGCAACGAGCGCAACCCUCAUCUUCAGUUGCCCCCGGGUCAGGCCGGGCACUCUGAAGAAACCGCCGGUGACAAGCCGGAGGAAGGCGGGGAUGACGUCAAGUCCUCAUGGCCCUUACAGGCUGGGCUACACACGUACUACAAUGGUGGUGACAGUGGGCAGCGAAGUCGCGAGACGGAGCUAAUCCCCAAAAGCCAUCUCAGUUCAGAUUGCACUCUGCAACUCGAGUGCAUGAAGUUGGAAUCGCUAGUAAUCGCAGAUCAGCACGCUGCGGUGAAUACGUUCCCGGGCCUUGUACACACCGGAGUAC
Molecule: ribosomal RNA, 441 nt
Filed under: uncultured bacterium
Lineage: Bacteria
Description: bacterial SSU rRNA
Rfam family: Bacterial small subunit ribosomal RNA
Source: RNAcentral